UACGUAGGGGGCAAGCGUUGUCCGGAAUCAUUGGGCGUAAAGCGCGUGUAGGCGGCUUGGUAAGUCCGCUCUGAAAGCCCGGGGCUCAACCCCGGGAGGCGGGUGGAUACUGUCAAGCUCGAGUCCGGAAGAGGCGAGUGGAAUUCCCGGUGUAGCGGUGAAAUGCGCAGAUAUCGGGAGGAACACCAAUGGCGAAGGCAGCUCGCUGGGACGUGACUGACGCUGAGACGCGAAAGCGUGGGGAGCAAACAGG
Molecule: ribosomal RNA, 253 nt
Filed under: uncultured bacterium
Lineage: Bacteria
Description: partial 16S ribosomal RNA
Rfam family: Bacterial small subunit ribosomal RNA
Source: RNAcentral